GUGCUUGCUUAUGCAGGACAUAUACUAAAAUUGGAACAAUACAGGGACGAUUAGCAUGGCCCCUGCACAAGAAUGACAUGCAAACUUGUGAAGUGUUCCAUACUUAA
This 107-nucleotide small nuclear RNA is filed under the name Catagonus wagneri (Chacoan peccary). The record is from RNAcentral. Lineage: Eukaryota; Metazoa; Chordata; Mammalia; Artiodactyla; Tayassuidae.